GGUUAAGCGACUAAGCGUACACGGUGGAUGCCCUGGCAGUCAGAGGCGAUGAAGGGCGUGCUAAUCUGCGAUAAGCGCCGGUAAGGUGAUAUGAACCGUUAUAACCGGCGAUACCCGAAUGGGGAAACCCAGUGUGAUUCGUCACACUAUCAUUAACUGAAUCCAUAGGUUAAUGAGGCGAACCGGGGGAACUGAAACAUCUAAGUACCCCGAGGAAAAGAAAUCAACCGAGAUUCCCCCAGUAGCGGCGAGCGAACGGGGAGGAGCCCAGAGCCUGAAUCAGCAUGUGUGUUAGUGGAAGCGUCUGGAAAGGUGCGCGAUACAGGGUGACAGCCCCGUACACAAAAGCGCAUGUGCUGUGAGCUCGAUGAGUAGGGCGGGACACGUGGUAUCCUGUCUGAAUAUGGGGGGACCAUCCUCCAAGGCUAAAUACUCCUGACUGACCGAUAGUGAACCAGUACCGUGAGGGAAAGGCGAAAAGAACCCCGGCGAGGGGAGUGAAAAAGAACCUGAAACCGUGUACGUACAAGCAGUGGGAGCACAGGUUUACCUGUGUGACUGCGUACCUUUUGUAUAAUGGGUCAGCGACUUAUAUUCUGUAGCAAGGUUAACCGUAUAGGGGAGCCGUAGGGAAACCGAGUCUUAACCGGGCGUUAAGUUGCAGGGUAUAGACCCGAAACCCGGUGAUCUAGCCAUGGGCAGGUUGAAGGUUGGGUAACACUAACUGGAGGACCGAACCGACUAAUGUUGAAAAAUUAGCGGAUGACCUGUGGCUGGGGGUGAAAGGCCAAUCAAACCGGGAGAUAGCUGGUUCUCCCCGAAAGCUAUUUAGGUAGCGCCUCGUGAAUUCAUCUCCGGGGGUAGAGCACUGUUUCGGCUAGGGGGCCAUCCCGGCUUACCAACCCGAUGCAAACUGCGAAUACCGGAGAAUGUUAUCACGGGAGACACACGGCGGGUGCUAACGUCCGUCGUGAAGAGGGAAACAACCCAGACCGCCAGCUAAGGUCCCAAAGUCAUGGUUAAGUGGGAAACGAUGUGGGAAGGCCCAGACAGCCAGGAUGUUGGCUUAGAAGCAGCCAUCAUUUAAAGAAAGCGUAAUAGCUCACUGGUCGAGUCGGCCUGCGCGGAAGAUGUAACGGGGCUAAACCAUGCACCGAAGCUGCGGCAGCGAACGUAUCACCCAAGACAACUUUACGGAGUUGACGAUUGACGGAGCGAAGCGACGUCAAAGCGUUCAUUAAAGUCGAGUUGGCUUAGGGAUACGUUCGUUGGGUAGGGGAGCGUUCUGUAAGCCUGUGAAGGUGUGUCGUGAGGCAUGCUGGAGGUAUCAGAAGUGCGAAUGCUGACAUAAGUAACGAUAAAGCGGGUGAAAAGCCCGCUCGCCGGAAGACCAAGGGUUCCUGUCCAACGUUAAUCGGGGCAGGGUGAGUCGACCCCUAAGGCGAGGCCGAAAGGCGUAGUCGAUGGGAAACGGGUUAAUAUUCCCGUACUUGGUGUUACUGCGAAGGGGGGACGGAGAAGGCUAUGUUGGCCGGGCGACGGUUGUCCCGGUUUAAGCGUGUAGGUGUGUGUUCCAGGUAAAUCCGGUUCACUUUAACACUGAGGCGUGACGACGAGGCACUACGGUGCUGAAGCAACAAAUGCCCUGCUUCCAGGAAAAGCCUCUAAGCAUCAGGUAACACGAAAUCGUACCCCAAACCGACACAGGUGGUCAGGUAGAGAAUACCAAGGCGCUUGAGAGAACUCGGGUGAAGGAACUAGGCAAAAUGGUGCCGUAACUUCGGGAGAAGGCACGCUGACACGUAGGUGAAGUGAUUUACUCAUGGAGCUGAAGUCAGUCGAAGAUACCAGCUGGCUGCAACUGUUUAUUAAAAACACAGCACUGUGCAAACACGAAAGUGGACGUAUACGGUGUGACGCCUGCCCGGUGCCGGAAGGUUAAUUGAUGGGGUCAGCGUAAGCGAAGCUCCUGAUCGAAGCCCCGGUAAACGGCGGCCGUAACUAUAACGGUCCUAAGGUAGCGAAAUUCCUUGUCGGGUAAGUUCCGACCUGCACGAAUGGCGUAAUGAUGGCCAGGCUGUCUCCACCCGAGACUCAGUGAAAUUGAACUCGCUGUGAAGAUGCAGUGUACCCGCGGCAAGACGGAAAGACCCCGUGAACCUUUACUAUAGCUUGACACUGAACAUUGAGCCUUGAUGUGUAGGAUAGGUGGGAGGCUUUGAAGUGUGGACGCCAGUCUGCAUGGAGCCGACCUUGAAAUACCACCCUUUAAUGUUUGAUGUUCUAACGUGGACCCGUAAUCCGGGUUGCGGACAGUGUCUGGUGGGUAGUUUGACUGGGGCGGUCUCCUCCUAAAGAGUAACGGAGGAGCACGAAGGUUGGCUAAUCCUGGUCGGACAUCAGGAGGUUAGUGCAAUGGCAUAAGCCAGCUUGACUGCGAGCGUGACGGCGCGAGCAGGUGCGAAAGCAGGUCAUAGUGAUCCGGUGGUUCUGAAUGGAAGGGCCAUCGCUCAACGGAUAAAAGGUACUCCGGGGAUAACAGGCUGAUACCGCCCAAGAGUUCAUAUCGACGGCGGUGUUUGGCACCUCGAUGUCGGCUCAUCACAUCCUGGGGCUGAAGUAGGUCCCAAGGGUAUGGCUGUUCGCCAUUUAAAGUGGUACGCGAGCUGGGUUUAGAACGUCGUGAGACAGUUCGGUCCCUAUCUGCCGUGGGCGCUGGAGAACUGAGGGGGGCUGCUCCUAGUACGAGAGGACCGGAGUGGACGCAUCACUGGUGUUCGGGUUGUCAUGCCAAUGGCACUGCCCGGUAGCUAAAUGCGGAAGAGAUAAGUGCUGAAAGCAUCUAAGCACGAAACUUGCCCCGAGAUGAGUUCUCCCUGAGACUUAGAGUCUCCUGAAGGAACGUUGAAGACGACGACGUUGAUAGGCCGGGUGUGUAAGCGCAGCGAUGCGUUGAGCUAACCGGUACUAAUGAACCGUGAGGCUUAACCUUAC
Molecule: ribosomal RNA, 2994 nt
Filed under: Salmonella enterica subsp. enterica serovar Typhimurium str. DT104
Lineage: Bacteria; Pseudomonadati; Pseudomonadota; Gammaproteobacteria; Enterobacterales; Enterobacteriaceae
Description: bacterial LSU rRNA
Rfam family: Bacterial large subunit ribosomal RNA
Source: RNAcentral